Molecule: ribosomal RNA, 496 nt
Filed under: uncultured bacterium
Lineage: Bacteria
Description: bacterial SSU rRNA
Rfam family: Bacterial small subunit ribosomal RNA
Source: RNAcentral
GCGGCGUGCUUACACAUGCAGUGGAGCGACGAACAGGGCUUGCCCUGGGGCAAAGCCGCGAACGGGUGAGUAACACGUGAGUAAUCUGCCCCGAUAACCGGGACAACCCGAGGAAACUCGGGCUAAUACCGGAUGUGGCGUACAGGCAUAAGCCUGUCCGUUAAAGGUAGCUUCGGCUUCUGUAUCGGGAGGGGCUCGCGGCCCAUUAGCUUGUUGGUGGGGUAAAGGCCUACCAAGGCAACGAUGGGUAGCUGGUCUGAGAGGACGAUCAGCCACACUGGGACUGAGACACGGCCCAGACUCCUACGGGGGGCAGCAGUGGGGAAUCUUGCGCAAUGCGCGAAAGCGUGACGCAGCAACGCCGCGUGAGGGAAGACGGCCUUCGGGUUGUAAACCUCUUUCAGGAGGGACGAAGGUUCGCCGGUGAAUAGCCGUGUGGAUUGACGGUACCUCCAGAAGAAGCUCCGGCUAACUACGUGCCAGCAGCCGCGGUAAU